Long non-coding RNA from Leopardus geoffroyi (Geoffroy's cat), 565 nucleotides. RefSeq lists it as uncharacterized. The transcript has 3 exons. The record is from RefSeq and is a predicted model, not a curated record. NCBI's taxonomy places the organism in Eukaryota, Metazoa, Chordata, Mammalia, Carnivora, Felidae.
CGGCGGCGGUGAAAACCCCGGAAGCCCCGCCCACGUACGUGAGCCGCAGGAAGCGCCCCUGUUCUUGGCAGGCAUUGGCCUCAGAUGCCUUCUGGGUAAUGUGGUUUCCCUCCUCUGAAUCCAACCGGGCAGGAUGGACUUAACCAGGCGUCUUCCUCCGAGGGGAGGGAGCACAAGCAAGCGAGCAACCGAUCUGCCUUUUUAAGUGGCCACAACUCGGAGGACCAAGGGGCAGGGGUGAAGCCUCCACUCUGUGCCUGGGAAGUUGAGGCUCCGGCGACGGACAUUUGUCAGGGUGGAGGCAUAUGAAAAGGCGAAGAACUGGCCUUCUGCCCCAGCUGGCCUGGUGACUUCCUUUUUUCGCUGUUGCUCCAUGAGUGCAAAGGUCUUCGUUUUCUUCACUGCUCACUGCUGUAUCCCCUCCCCCAACUUCUAAAAAUGUCUAGCACAAAGCAGACACAUCAUAGACGUUUCAGAAAUGGAUGCAUAUGGCACAAAACCAAAAUGAUAGGACAAGAUUAGCAGUGAGAAGCUUUAUUCCUACCUAUUCCUUGAUUCACAAGUA